CCUACGGGGGGCAGCAGUGGGGAAUAUUGGGCAAUGGGCGCAAGCCUGACCCAGCAACGCCGCGUGAGGGAAGAAGGCCCACCGGUUGUAAACUUCUUUUGUCAAGGACAAAACAAAUGGCAGUACCUGCCGAAUAAGCCACGGCUAACUACGUGCCUGCAGCAGCGGGAAUCCGUAGGUGGCAAGCGUUAUCCGGAUUUACGGGGUGUAAGGGGCGUUUGGGGGGGAGUGCAAGUCAGAUGUGAAAUUCCAGGGCGCCACCCUGGAACUGGAUUUGAAACUGUCUUUCUUGAGUGAUGGAGAGGCAGGCGGAAUGCCGGGUGUAGCGGUGAAAUGCGUAGAUAUACGGAGGAACACCAGUGGCGAAGGCGGCCUGCUGGACAUUAACUGACGCUGAGGCGCGAAAGCGUGGGGAGCAAACAGGAUUAGAUACUCCUGUAGUC
RNAcentral lists this ribosomal RNA (443 nucleotides) under uncultured bacterium. Its description in RNAcentral is "partial 16S ribosomal RNA". It matches the Rfam family "Bacterial small subunit ribosomal RNA", at positions 338 to 795 of the family's 1533-position model. The record is from RNAcentral.